This 505-nucleotide ribosomal RNA is filed under the name uncultured bacterium. Its description in RNAcentral is "bacterial SSU rRNA". It matches the Rfam family "Bacterial small subunit ribosomal RNA", at positions 28 to 529 of the family's 1533-position model. The record is from RNAcentral.
GAUGAACGCUGGCGGCGUGCCUAAUACAUGCAAGUCGAACGCACUGAUUUUAUCAGUGAGUGGCGAACGGGUGAGUAAUACAUAAGUAACCUGCCCUCAUGAGGGGGAUAACUAUUAGAAAUGAUAGCUAAGACCGCAUAGGUGAAGGGGUCGCAUGACCGCUUCAUUAAAUAUCCGUAAGGAUAGCAGGAGGAUGGACUUAUGGCGCAUUAGCUGGCUGGUGAGGUAACGGCUCACCAAGGCGACGAUGCGUAGCCGACCUGAGAGGGUGGACGGCCACACUGGGACUGAGACACGGCCCAGACUCCUACGGGAGGCAGCAGUAGGGAAUUUUCGGCAAUGGGGGAAACCCUGACCGAGCAACGCCGCGUGAGGGAAGAAGUAUUUCGGUAUGUAAACCUCUGUUAUAAAGGAAGAACGGUAUGAAUAGGAAAUGAUUCAUAAGUGACGGUACUUUAUGAGAAAGCCACGGCUAACUACGUGCCAGCAGCCGCGGUAAUACGUA